This 962-nucleotide ribosomal RNA is filed under the name Akanthomyces xixiuensis. Its description in RNAcentral is "SSU rRNA". It matches the Rfam family "Eukaryotic small subunit ribosomal RNA", at positions 93 to 1065 of the family's 1831-position model. The record is from RNAcentral. Lineage: Eukaryota; Fungi; Ascomycota; Sordariomycetes; Hypocreales; Cordycipitaceae.
AUGGCUCAUUAUAUAAGUUAUCGUUUAUUUGAUAGUACCUUACUACUUGGAUAACCGUGGUAAUUCUAGAGCUAAUACAUGCUAAAAAUCCCGACUCCGGAAGGGAUGUAUUUAUUAGAUUAAAAACCAAUGCCCUCUGGGCUCCUUGGUGAUUCAUGAUAACUUUUCGAAUCGCAUGGCCUUGCGCCGGCGAUGGUUCAUUCAAAUUUCUUCCCUAUCAACUUUCGAUGUUUGGGUAUUGGCCAAACAUGGUCGCAACGGGUAACGGAGGGUUAGGGCUCGACCCCGGAGAAGGAGCCUGAGAAACGGCUACUACAUCCAAGGAAGGCAGCAGGCGCGCAAAUUACCCAAUCCCGAUUCGGGGAGGUAGUGACAAUAAAUACUGAUACAGGGCUCUUUUGGGUCUUGUAAUUGGAAUGAGUACAAUUUAAAUCCCUUAACGAGGAACAAUUGGAGGGCAAGUCUGGUGCCAGCAGCCGCGGUAAUUCCAGCUCCAAUAGCGUAUAUUAAAGUUGUUGUGGUUAAAAAGCUCGUAGUUGAACCUUGGGCCUGGCUGGCCGGUCCGCCUCACCGCGUGCACUGGUCCGGCCGGGCCUUUCCCUCUGUGGAACCCCAUGCCCUUCACUGGGUGUGGCGGGGAAACAGGACUUUUACUUUGAAAAAAUUAGAGUGCUCCAGGCAGGCCUAUGCUCGAAUACAUUAGCAUGGAAUAAUGAAAUAGGACGUGUGGUUCUAUUUUGUUGGUUUCUAGGACCGCCGUAAUGAUUAAUAGGGACAGUCGGGGGCAUCAGUAUUCAAUUGUCAGAGGUGAAAUUCUUGGAUUUAUUGAAGACUAACUACUGCGAAAGCAUUUGCCAAGGAUGUUUUCAUUAAUCAGGAACGAAAGUUAGGGGAUCGAAGACGAUCAGAUACCGUCGUAGUCUUAACCAUAAACUAUGCCGACUAGGGAUCGGACGAUGUUA